ACGACGCUGGCGGCGCGCCUAACACAUGCAAGUCGAACGGAGAUCUAUUUGGUAGAAGUUUUCGGAUGGACACCGGGUGAUCUUAGUGGCGAACGGGUGAGUAACACGUAGGCAACCUGCCCAAAAGAGGGGGAUAACACUUGGAAACAGGUGCUAAUACCGCAUAACCAUGAACACCGCAUGAUGUUCAUGUAAAAGACGGCUUUCGCUGUCACUUUUGGAUGGGCCUGCGGCGUAUUAACUUGUUGGUGGGGUAACGGCCUACCAAGGUGAUGAUACGUAGCCGAACUGAGAGGUUGAUCGGCCACAUUGGGACUGAGACACGGCCCAAACUCCUACGGGAGGCAGCAGUAGGGAAUCUUCCACAAUGGACGAAAGUCUGAUGGAGCAACGCCGCGUGAAUGAAGAAGGCCUUCGGGUCGUAAAAUUCUGUUGUCAGAGAAGAACGUGCGUGAGAGUAACUGUUCACGUAUUGACGGUAUCUGACCAGAAAGCCACGGCUAACUACGUG
RNAcentral lists this ribosomal RNA (511 nucleotides) under uncultured bacterium. Its description in RNAcentral is "bacterial SSU rRNA". It matches the Rfam family "Bacterial small subunit ribosomal RNA", at positions 32 to 507 of the family's 1533-position model. The record is from RNAcentral.